UAGCUAGUUGGUGAGGUAAAGGCUUACCAAGGCGACGAUCUGUAGCGGGUCUGAGAGGAUGAUCCGCCACACUGGAACUGAGACACGGUCCAGACUCCUACGGGAGGCAGCAGUGGGGAAUUUUGGACAAUGGGGGCAACCCUGAUCCAGCCAUGCCGCGUGAGUGAAGAAGGCCUUCGGGUUGUAAAGCUCUUUCGGCCGGGAAGAAAUCGCAUGGGCCAAUACCCUGUGUGGAUGACGGUACCGGAAUAAGAAGCACCGGCUAACUACGUACCAGCAGCCGCGGUAAUACGUAGGGUGCGAGCGUUAAUCGGAAUUACUGGGCGUAAAGCGUGCGCAGGCGGUUUUGUAAGACAGGCGUGAAAUCCCCGGGCUUAACCUGGGAACUGCGUUUGUGACUGCAAGGCUAGAGUACGGCAGAGGGGGGUGGAAUUCCACGUGUAGCAGUGAAAUGCGUAGAGAUGUGGAGGAACACCAAUGGCGAAGGCAGCCCCCUGGGUCAAUACUGACGCUCAUGCACGAAAGCGUGGGUAGCAAACAGGAUUAGAUACCCUGGUAGUCCACGCCCUAAACUAUGUCAACUAGGUGUUGGGUGGGUAAAACCAUUUAGUACCGUAGCUAACGCGUGAAGUUGACCGCCUGGGGAGUACGGCCGCAAGGUUAAAACUCAAAGGAAUUGACGGGGACCCGCACAAGCGGUGGAUGAUGUGGAUUAAUUCGAUGCAACGCGAAAAACCUUACCUACCCUUGACUUGCCAGGAACUUGCCAGAGAUGGCUUGGUGCCCGAAAGGGAGCCUGGACACAGGUGCUGCAUGGCUGUCGUCAGCUCGUGUCGUGAGAUGUUGGGUUAAGUCCCGCAACGAGCGCAACCCUUGUCGUUAAUUGCCAUCAUUUAGUUGGGCACUUUAACGAGACUGCCGGUGACAAACCGGAGGAAGGUGGGGAUGACGUCAAGUCCUCAUGGCCCUUAUGGGUAGGGCUUCACACGUCAUACAAUGGUCGGUACAAAGGGUUGCCAAGCCGCGAGGCGGAGCCAAUCCCAGAAAGCCGAUCGUAGUCCGGAUUGCAGGCUGCAACUCGCCUGCAUGAAGUCGGAAUCGCUAGUAAUCGUGGAUCAGCAUGUCACGGUGAAUACGUUCCCGGGUCUUGUACACACCGCCCGCCACACCAUGGGAGCGGGUUCCGCCAGAAGUAGGUAGCCUAACCGCAAGGGGGGCGCUUACCACGGCGGGGUUCGUGACUGGGGUGAAGUCGUAACAAGGUAGCCGUAGGGGAACCUGCGGCUG
RNAcentral lists this ribosomal RNA (1287 nucleotides) under metagenome. Its description in RNAcentral is "bacterial SSU rRNA". It matches the Rfam family "Bacterial small subunit ribosomal RNA", at positions 242 to 1520 of the family's 1533-position model. The record is from RNAcentral.